CAGCAUCCAUAAGUCAGAAACCUUCUUCCUCUGUGGGUCCUCCAAGAAGUACACAUUCAUCUGUAGGAGGGGAAAAGAAGUUAUCCGUCACCAUGAGUACGGACGCUGAGAUGCAAAUCUACGGCAAGGCUGCCAUAUACCUCCGUAAGUCUGAGAAGGAGAGGAUGGAGGCACAAGCCGCACCCUUUGAUUCAAAGAACGCCUGCUAUGUGGCAGACAAGGUGGAGCUGUACCUUAAGGGUCUGGUCACUGCCAGGGGCGACGGGAAGUUACUGUAACAGUCACGAAACCUGACGGCACUAAGGAGUAAG
Molecule: non-coding RNA, 311 nt
Organism: Salvelinus sp. IW2-2015
Lineage: Eukaryota; Metazoa; Chordata; Actinopteri; Salmoniformes; Salmonidae
Source: RefSeq, a predicted model, not a curated record